This 419-nucleotide ribosomal RNA is filed under the name bacterium. RNAcentral describes it as "partial 16S ribosomal RNA". It matches the Rfam family "Bacterial small subunit ribosomal RNA", at positions 355 to 776 of the family's 1533-position model. The record is from RNAcentral.
UGGGGGAUAUUGCACAAUGGGCGAAAGCCUGAUGCAGCGACGCCGCGUGGGGGAUGAAGGCCUUCGGGUUGUAAACUUCUUUUGCUCUGAACAAGGCGCACCAUGGGGUGUGUUGAGUGUAGGGGUUGAUUAGCGCCGGCUAACUACGUGCCAGCAGCCGCGGUAAUACGUAGGGGGCGGGCGUUGUCCGGAAUUAUUGGGCGUAAAGGGCUUGUAGGUGGCUGGUUGCGUCUGUCGUGAAAGCUCAUGGCUUAACUGUGGGUUUGCGGUGGGUACGGGCUGGCUUGGGGGCAGUAGGGGAGGCUGGAAUUCCUGGUGUAGCGGUGGAAUGCGCGGAUAUCAGGAGGAAUACCGGUGGCGAAGGCGGGUCUCUGGGCUGUUACUGACACUGAGGGGCGAAAGCAUGGGGGGCGAACAGG